This 855-nucleotide ribosomal RNA is filed under the name uncultured bacterium. RNAcentral describes it as "bacterial SSU rRNA". It matches the Rfam family "Bacterial small subunit ribosomal RNA", at positions 94 to 954 of the family's 1533-position model. The record is from RNAcentral.
CACGGCGCACGGGUGCGUAACACGUGGGCAAUCUGCCCUCCGGUGGGGAAUAACCCCGCGAAAGCGGGGCUAAUUCCGCAUAACAUUCCCUGGACUCUGGUUCGGGGAUUCAAAGCAGCAAUGCGCCGGAGGAGGAGCCCGCGCCCGAUUAGCUAGUUGGUGAGGUGACGGCUCACCAAGGCAAUGAUCGGUAGCUGGUCUGAGAGGAUGGCCAGCCACACUGGAACUGAGACACGGUCCAGACUCCUACGGGAGGCAGCAGUGGGGAAUCUUGCGCAAUGGGCGAAAGCCUGACGCAGCGACGCCGCGUGGGGGAUGAAGCUUCUCGGAGUGUAAACCCCUUUCGACCGGGACGAAUGCCCGCAAGGGAGUGACGGUACCGGUAGAAGAAGCCCCGGCUAACUACGUGCCAGCAGCCGCGGUAAGACGUAGGGGGCCAGCGUUGUUCGGAAUUACUGGGUGUAAAGGGUUCGUAGGCGGUGUGGCAAGUCGGGAGUGAAAUUUCUGGGCUUAACUCAGAACCUGCUUCCGAAACUGCUGUGCUCGAGUGUGGGAGAGGCGCGUGGAAUUGCAGGUGUAGCGGUGAAAUGCGUAGAUAUCUGCAGGAACACCCGUGGCGAAAGCGGCGCGCUGGACCACUACUGACGCUGAGGAACGAAAGCUAGGGGAGCAAACAGGAUUAGAUACCCUGGUAGUCCUAGCCCUAAACGAUCAGGACUUGGGGUGCCACCCGUUCGGGUGUCGUCCCGGAGCUAACGCGUUAAGUCCUGCACCUGGGGAGUACGGUCGCAAGACUGAAACUCAAAGGAAUUGACGGGGGCCCGCACAAGCGGUGGAACAUGUGGUUCAAUUCGA